This 1078-nucleotide long non-coding RNA is filed under the name Theobroma cacao (cacao). RNAcentral's name for it is "long non-coding RNA (TCAC_LNC002456)". Lineage: Eukaryota; Viridiplantae; Streptophyta; Magnoliopsida; Malvales; Malvaceae. The record is from RNAcentral.
AAUUGAAUCAUAAAUUCACAAUACAUCAAAUGGUCUCCAAUUACUCCAUUUUCAAAACCAUCAUUCAAUUUCAAGACAAUUUAUAAAAUCAUUUCAUUUAAACACAUUUUGUUUAUAAAACCUAAAAAUUAACCAUUUAAACUCAUUUUUCAUAACAUUUACAAAAUCGAAUAAAAAGACAACUUUAGAUAAUUAAAAUGAUGAUAAGGUUACUCACUUUUUCGGGAGUCGAAUUUUUAGAGUACUUCGACUAUCGAUCCUCGGGUACAAUUUCUUUGCCCUUAUCGGAGGAUUCACCACCUAGACAUAAUGCACAAUCAAGCAAUUUACCACAUUGGUGCUAAAUCGUUAUAAAACUAUAUGGAUGCAUGAAAUGGAAUGCAAAUUGUUCGGGUUGUCGUCUAAACACGGUGUUCUACACAAAUUCAAUUGUGUACCUAAAUAAAACGGUAUUGGCCUAAUUCGAUCUAUCACUCGAUUAAUUGGCCAAUAUGCCCAAUUAAACUCCAAUUAACUCUAUUUUUCUUCCAAUUCUCCAAACCAUCAACCACAAGUCAAAUAGCAUAAAAUUUAGCAAAAUCAUCUUCACAUUUUCUCUUGGGAAUUUCGGCCAUGAUGGGUGCAUCAACAUUAUGAUUUUUCCUACUUGAUUUUCUCAUCGUAAUUCAUCAUUUCCUAACCAAUUCACUUGAGAUAAAAUCAAAUCUACCAUCCACACCUUACAUGGAAAAUUCGGCCAAUGAUGGGUAAUGGGAGGAAGUGAAUUUUUCUUGUUUGUUUUUCAUGCUACACAUCACUAACUAAAUAAAAACACUAAAAUACAUUGAAAUCUAACCAAAUCCAAGUUCAAAACUCCUCCCCCCGUGUCCGGCAAGCAAGGGUAUCCUCAUGCAAACUUGAUUCUCAACCAUAGAAAAUGAAAAAGAAUGCAUAGGAAAGGUAAAUCACAAGCUAGAAUUGAAAAAUCUUACCUUUUGUUACUUGAUUCUUUGAAAUUUUGUGAAUUUCUCUUGAAUUUCUUAGCUAGGUUUUUGUUGUUCUUCUUUUCUUCCCUUUUCUUCCUUUGUUCUUGCUUUGG